Cinara cedri is the source of this 294-nucleotide non-coding RNA. Lineage: Eukaryota; Metazoa; Arthropoda; Insecta; Hemiptera; Aphididae. The record is from the annotation of a GenBank genome assembly.
GCUAGGAAGCAAUUAUUUUGAUUGCACAGUGUGAUUUAAGUCAUACAAUGAUGCCGCGGUGGAAUGUACACAUUUACGAGUAUGUAUAAAUAAAGGACGAAAUAGUAUAAUACGGGUGGAGAAUAUAUAAAUAGAAGUGCCGGAAGUCAGCCGGAAACGUGAUAUACUUCAGAGGUGAAAUAUGUGCGUAAAGUGAUUGAGUGUGUUGUUUUGGGCCUUUGAUUAUUAUAAGUUGAUAACCGCCAAAGUCAUAAAUAACGUGCCAGGCCGAAUAUACUUUAUGUAUGUAUGUAU